This 484-nucleotide ribosomal RNA is filed under the name uncultured bacterium. Its description in RNAcentral is "partial 16S ribosomal RNA". It matches the Rfam family "Bacterial small subunit ribosomal RNA", at positions 28 to 507 of the family's 1533-position model. The record is from RNAcentral.
AUUGAACGCUGGCGGCAUGCUUUACACAUGCAAGUCGAACGGCAGCGCGGGCUUCGGCCUGGCGGCGAGUGGCGAACGGGUGAGUAAUGCAUCGGAACGUGCCCAGUAGUGGGGGAUAGCCCGGCGAAAGCCGGAUUAAUACCGCAUACGACCUGAGGGUGAAAGCGGGGGACCGAAAGGCCUCGCGCUAUUGGAGCGGCCGAUGUCGGAUUAGCUAGUUGGUGGGGUAAAGGCUUACCAAGGCGACGAUCCGUAGCUGGUCUGAGAGGACGACCAGCCACACUGGGACUGAGACACGGCCCAGACUCCUACGGGAGGCAGCAGUGGGGAAUUUUGGACAAUGGGGGCAACCCUGAUCCAGCCAUGCCGCGUGCGGGAAGAAGGCCUUCGGGUUGUAAACCGCUUUUGCUCGGGAAGAAAUCCUCUGGGCUAAUACCCCGGGGGGAUGACGGUACCGGAAGAAUAAGCACCGGCUAACUACGUG